GCUUGUGUAGUAUAGUGGUUUGAGUGUGGGAUUAUGACUCUGAAGACCAGCGUUCGAUUCUCUGCUCAGCCA
Molecule: non-coding RNA, 72 nt
Organism: Phrynosoma platyrhinos (Desert horned lizard)
Lineage: Eukaryota; Metazoa; Chordata; Lepidosauria; Squamata; Phrynosomatidae
Source: the annotation of a GenBank genome assembly